Molecule: ribosomal RNA, 253 nt
Filed under: uncultured bacterium
Lineage: Bacteria
Description: partial 16S ribosomal RNA
Rfam family: Bacterial small subunit ribosomal RNA
Source: RNAcentral
UACGGAGGAUGCAAGCGUUAUCCGGAAUGAUUGGGCGUAAAGCGUCCGCAGGUGGCAAUGUAAGUCUGCUGUUAAAGAGUCUAGCUCAACUAGAUAAAAGCAGUGGAAACUACAUAGCUAGAGUACGUUCGGGGCAGAGGGAAUUCCUGGUGUAGCGGUGAAAUGCGUAGAGAUCAGGAAGAACACCGGCGGCGAAGGCGCUCUGCUAGGCCGUAACUGACACUGAGGGACGAAAGCUAGGGGAGCGAAUGGG